Molecule: ribosomal RNA, 514 nt
Filed under: uncultured bacterium
Lineage: Bacteria
Description: bacterial SSU rRNA
Rfam family: Bacterial small subunit ribosomal RNA
Source: RNAcentral
CAGAACGAACGCUGGCGGCGUGCUUAACACAUGCAAGUCGAACGCGAAAGGGACUUCGGUCCUGAGUAAAGUGGCGCACGGGUGAGUAACGCGUAGAUAACCUGUCUUCAUGUCUGGAAUAAUACGCCGAAAGGGGCACUAAUACCGGAUAUUCUUGCUUUUCAUAAGUUAUGCAAGCAAAGGUGGCCUCUGCAUAUGCUACUGCAUGAAGAGGGGUCUGCGUACCAUUAGCUAGUAGGUGGGGUAAUGGCCUACCUAGGCGACGAUGGUUAGCGGGUCUGAGAGGAUGAUCCGCCACACUGGCACUGGAACACGGGCCAGACUCCUACGGGAGGCAGCAGUGAGGAAUAUUGCGCAAGUGGGGAAACCCUGACGCAGCGACGCCGCGUGAGUGAAGGAAGGCCUUCGGGUCGUAAAGCUCUGUCAAGAGGAAAGAAGUGUACAAUGGCUAAUACCUGUUGUAUUUGACGGUACCUCUAAAGGAAGCACCGGCUAACUCCGUGCCAGCCGCAGC